CCUACGGGAGGCAGCAGUAGGGAAUCUUUCACAAUGGGCGAAAGCCUGAUGGAGCAACGCCGCGUGCAGGAUGAAGGCCUUCGGGUUGUAAACUGCUUUUAUAAGCGAGAAAUAUGAUGGUAACUUAUGAAUAAGGAUCGGCUAACUACGUGCCAGCAGCCGCGGUCAUACGUAGGAUCCGAGCAUUAUCCGGAGUGACUGGGUGUAAAGAGUUGCGUAGGUGGCAUAAUAAGUAGCUAGUGAAAUCGGGUGGCUCAACCAUUCAGACUAUUAGCUAAACUGUUAAGCUCGAGACCGUUAGGGGUAACUGGAAUUUCUGGUGUAGGAGUGAAAUCCGUAGAUAUUAGAAGGAACACCAAUAGCGUAGGCAGGUUACUGGGACGGUUCUGACACUAAGGCACGAAAGCGUAGGGAGCAAACGGGAUUAGAUACCCCAGUAGUC
RNAcentral lists this ribosomal RNA (442 nucleotides) under uncultured bacterium. Its description in RNAcentral is "partial 16S ribosomal RNA". It matches the Rfam family "Bacterial small subunit ribosomal RNA", at positions 338 to 795 of the family's 1533-position model. The record is from RNAcentral.